Molecule: long non-coding RNA, 495 nt
Organism: Hordeum vulgare subsp. vulgare (domesticated barley)
Lineage: Eukaryota; Viridiplantae; Streptophyta; Magnoliopsida; Poales; Poaceae
Exons: 2
Source: RefSeq, a predicted model, not a curated record
UUCCUAUUGGAACCUUACACUCGACUAGAGCCGAGUUUGUCAAGAGAUAACCAGUAUAAGAUGGAACAUCCUAGUGCAGGCGACCAUGAUAUUCUUCAUUGGGUGCCUAGUCGUGUGUGCACAGUGUGGUCUCGAUAAUAAGCAAAUGGUGGUCAACCAAGAUGGUCAUGCGGCCAACAAAAGUACCAACAACGCUACCAUCGUCAAUUCGACAUCUGCCGGGGAGAACAAGAUAACGUUGAAAUUUUGCAUUCGAUUUCUUAUAUGUCAUCGCUCAGAUGGGCACAUUGGUACGUGCUACUGCUGCCAGAAUAAUGGUGUCCAGUGUUACACGACGCAGAGUGAGUGCCUGGACAACUGCCCUACAUGCAACCCUAAAUGCCCACCUUCGUUGGGGUCUGAGGGAUAGAAUUCCAUAUGCUUGGAUGAUUUGCUUGUCCGUAAUAAAACGCACCUUAUUUGGUUUGGGCAAUUUGGUCCCCACCAAAAAUUAAA